UUCCAUUAAUACUUUUUUUAAGAACCUUUUUUAUUAUUUCUACCAACUUAAGUUCGGUCUUUGGCUAAGAGAGCGUGUUUUUAUUUUCAUCUGAUACCAAAAAUUCGCAUGCAAUUUUAGGGCGAGACAGUAUUACGCAGUGGCGUAGCUACCUAGGGGUUAGGCGGGGCAGUGCCCCGGGGCCCCCAAGCUCAGGGGGCCCUCGAUUCCUUACCAGAAAUCUCGAUCAAACUGAACUUUUGGAAAUUUCACCUAUUUUCAAAAUAAAUAUGACAGGCUGCAACCCCACUUUAAUCAUGACAACUCAGUUGAGAUAAAUUAAAAUGUUAUGUUUAGGGAAUUCCCCUAAAUUCUUUCUGUAGGUUGCCAGUGUUGUCAAUUUGACGGAUGGUGAUAUGUGCGUUUUAUUAUUCAUCGAUGUGCGUUUUAUUCUGAAUUCGAGUUAAGUUUUUUUUUUCGAGAACGGUUAAAAAAUUAAUACUGUAUCAGGAGUAAGCUCGUAGAGGCCGCGCGGUGCGCUACCAACACGCUAGCGCGCUGCCAAGGAGAUAAGAUACACCGAGUGUAUCGCGUCCCGACCCGGCAGGCUGGUUCUGGUCCAGCGGGGCAUUCCGGGACACCAGCGGCACCGUCAGGGCGGCCUGACGGGCUGCCGUACCCAGACGGCUGACAGAGCCUUCGAGGCGAAUCGAAGGCUCUGAAACGUCGGCCGGGCGUCCUUGAGCUGAGCUGCGCCGCGCCGUCUGGUUGUAGUGACCACGGUAACCCCCCUACCUCAUCCGGGUUCUGACCUCGGAGGGGAUCGGACGCUUGUGCGAAGAGUGCAGGGGAGUAGUUUAGUGGGUAGGGCCCUGAAAACAUCCUUGGUCUCACAGUCGCGGACCAGUCCCACAUACCGCGCGCGCCCCCUAGGCGUGGAGACCUCGUAGAAGGUUCGGACCCAGCCCGAAAAAAAAGGCCCUGAAUCUUCUCUAUUUCGUUUUAUUAGCCUAACCUACACCAAGUAUUAAUUAUAAUUUAUGUUGCUACUGUUUAAUAUUUUUAUUACCUGCCCUGCAGUGCACAAAAAAGAGCUUAAUGUAGCUUAGAAUUUUUAAAGUAUUUGUAUAUUUCAUAUUUUUAUUUGAUAAAACCUAAUCAGUUUACAUAGCAGUGGGGCCCCAUUUUUUAAUUUGCCCCAGGGCCCUUGGUUACCUAGCUAUGCCACUGGUAUUACGAAAACUAUUUAAAAAAAAUGUUGAGUACCGGAAUUCAAAAUUAAAUUUAAAAUCAACCCGAGACAGCGAAAGUCAUUCUUUUUCUUUCGAAGACAUUUAAUAAAAGGCAUGCUAGGUGCGCUGUCUGGAGAAAAACUGUAGAUUAUUGGGAAACCAUAGAGCGAGUAGUUUUAGAAAGUUUCGCCGAUGAUAUGCAGGCGAAGUAAAUUGUCCCUUAGAAAUAAGGUGACACUCUACAAAACUUGCAUACGCCCCGUCAUGACCUAUGCAAGCGUAGUGUUCGCUCUCGCUCACCCGCACUAACUUAAAAUCAUUACAAGUUAUUCAAUCCCGUUUUUGCAGGAUAGCCGUCGGAGCUCCAUGGUUCGUUAGGAACGUCGACCUCAAUGACGACCUGGACUUAGAGUUCAUCAGUAAGUAUCUUCAGUCGGCGUCGAUGCGCCACUUCGAUAAAGCGGCACGACACGAGAACCCUCUCAUCGUGGCUAUUCUAACCGCAGGAUCGGUCCUGCGGUCAGAAUGGAAAGCAGUCGACGUCGCCCCAAGCACGUCAUUUCGGAUCCUCCCGAUCUACUAACGGUGCUUUUAGGUACCUCAAGCACCGGUCAUCGUUCUCGCCGAAACCGUCGCUUGCGACAAAGGGCUCGACGAGUAAAUUAACCCUCAGACACAGCCCACUGAGUUUCUCGCCAGAUCUUCUCAGUGGGUCGCGUUUCCGAUCCGGUGGUAGAUUCUGCGAAGCACGGCUCUUGCUAGGGUUCGUGUUAGCAACGUCAUCAGGCUUGAGCCCCGUGAGCUCAACUACUAGUUAUGGCGACGCUGAUAUAGCCUCUCAAGGUUAUCAGCUUAGGUAGGAAAAAAAAAGCGCUUCAGCGAUUAAUCUUAAGCCUUGUUUGGAGGUAUGGACAUAGGGAUGUUGCAAUUUCUCGGUAGACCGAUGGACAGAAUGUUUUUUUCAGCUUCGCCAGGAGCGGUAAGCGCGCACGUACUCAGUCAGGAAGAAGAUCGAAUAUCAAUAAUAUUAAGAGGCCCUAUCUAUCUAUCAUAUAUCCCCUAUUAAGGAGCAUUAAACUCAACUCCAUUCUUUCUAUUUCUCUUCUAAAUUUUUUAAGUUGAAGCCAAAUUUGAUAAGAACCUGCUAGUAUGGCGUUAGAUUUUCGUUUAAAUAUAGAACUUAACACAAGCCAAAGCUUUUUAAUAUGUUAUAGAUUUCGCUGCCACAGCUCUCGCUCCUACUUCGCAGCAUAUAAGCUAACCACGUAUCAAUCUUUGAUUGGCUCGUUCGUAACAUCAUGGUAUUUAAUACUUUUUAUUGUGAGGUCCUUAGGUAGGUUUGUUUCCAACAGUUCAGUAAGCUCUGCUAGUUAGAUAUUCUGAGAAACGACGAAUAUUUCCGGCGUGGAAGAUGAAACUCGGACAGUCUAGAAGAUCAUAGUGUUCUUUAAGCGUGUCCGUCAAAAUAGUUCAAACAGGUGCAGUGCCUAUGUAAGAACUUCUUUUAGGAAGUUUAAUUGUCUUUUGUUAGACAAUCUUUUUGAGCUCCACCUACCUACUGACUUUCAGCUUAACGUAUGAUUUCCAGUGCUCUAUGAUGGCGACCACUUAGGUACCGUACAUACUCUACGCUGAAACUUGUUUAUAAAAAUAAUUUAUUUUCUACUGUAUAAAACUUCCUCAAAAUAUCAAGAGUAGACAUUAAACAACUGAGCCGCACCCACAUUGAACAUGAUCAUCAUGACUGCCAGUAAUGUUCCUUUAAUCAAAAGUUAAAUUUUUAUGGUGAAUCAAAACAGCGUAUUUUUAGUAAAAAUUUGACAUGAACAUCUUCUUCGUCGUUUUCUCAUUACUGAGGGUCGUGACCACCUUAGUCUAGUUUUUGCACCAGCUUUCUCCAUAAUUCCUCCAUGAGCUUAAUAAACACUUUUAUUAUACAAGGUUUAUUGCACAGUUCUUAGUCUGGUCAUAAAUACUGUUACAAUUAAAAAUAAUAAUAAAUCUAUUGCAAAUAACAUUUAUUACUUUUACAGUGUGUUAGUUUAAUACAUAAAUAUAAAACAAUUUAAAAUAUAAAAAGCUUAUUCGAAGUGGUCUUCAUUGGCUGCAAUACAGUCCUUUAAACGUUGCACUCUUUCCAUGGGAAAAUUUUUCACUGCCAAUCGUUCGGAUUGUUUUCGGGACUUCAAAUAUCAUGACGUUUAGAGCAAGCCGUACUCUCUAAAACUGACCAUAAAUCAUAAUCCAGCGGAUUAAGAUCGGGACUAGACGACGGCCAGUCUUCAGCUCUGAUGAAGUCCGAAACGUUCGUUUCCAACCAAGACUGCGUAGACAGAGCUUUAUGACCUAGCGCCGAGUCUUGCUGGAAGGACCAUUCUUGAUUAUUGAACAUGGUGUUGUUAAGGGGCUUCACUACCUUCUCAAGAAUGGUAUCUUGAUACACUUGUGCCGAUGUUUUGAUACCUUUUUCACAAAAGUAUGGCUCAGUCACUCCUUCAUAGCUAAUACCCCACCAAACCAUCACUGAAGUCGGAUAGUGCCCACGUUGCACUCUGUCGACUAAUUGGGAAGCUUCCUUAGAGCUUUGAGCAUAAAUACGGUCAUUUUGUUUAUUAAAAUGUUGCUCAAUUGUAAAAAUUUUCUCAUCCGUAAACAAAAUUUUUCUAUGACCUCCCUUUGCGUACCGCUUCAGUAGUUGUUUCGAUUUUACCACCCUAUUCUCUUUUAAAUUAUCAGUUAAGAAAUGACCAGUAAGUCUCUUAUAGGCUGCAAGUCCCAAGUCAUCUUUUAAAAUACGCAACAUGUAGCCCGAGAGCCCGUGGGAUCUACCUGUAUGUAUUUGACCAGACCUGAAUUUUCGUACAUUGAGACCCCUAUACCUACCAUGCAUGAGGUGGGGACUCACUAAGCUCAAAGUGGUCGACGCGCCGAGCGCUCAGGUAGGACAGGUACCGAUUUUGACGGAUUUUAAAUCCAUUUGACCACGUCUGCCGUUUUGAAAUUUUGAAAAUAUAUGAUUAUUAUUAUCGGAAAAUAAGAAUGGCAGACCAUUAUCGCGCAUUUUACUUUGUGGCAGACCACUUUGAAAAUGCUAAAUUGCAUUGAAAAUGCAAAAUUUUGAAAGUAAUUGACUAGAUCUGCCAUUGAUUUAAUAAUAUGUUGUUUAUUAUAGUCUUAAAAACUUAUAUUGAUCACGGCAGACCUCUACAUUGCGUACAUACAUCAACAUAUAAUAAAAUCUUAGCUACUACCCGGCCAGAUGUAUAUUAUGUUUUCCGUUCACUGUUUUAGAGGAAUAUAAUUUACUUGCGAUUUACUUUAGCAAUGUAUUUACCGAAAUUAAUAUUUUUUUAUAUUAUAUAUACUAAACUUCAUUAGUUAGACAAUAAAGAAGUGAAUUUUUUAUGGAAUAAUUAUAAAUAAUACGGUAUAAUGCUGAUCAAAAAAUAAUUCAAUUCCUCAUUUUUAUCAUUCAACAUUUAACUUGCCAGCUAUACAAUGCCAAAAAAUCUAGUGAUGUAGAUGAUGGAAGGUUCCAGCUAUUCGUUAGCAACUAUAAAUAUUCAGACAUCAAUGAAAAUUAUAGAAAAAAAAAAUCAAAAAUUUGAGGCAAGCUCAAUACCACCGCAUAAGAGUGAGCUUUAUCAACAACUUUUGAGGGCCCACUAUAUUUCUUCUAUUUGGAGAAAUGCUUACAAAAAGCAACUGACAACUUUAGACCCAUUGGAGUAUGGUUGGAUUGAGCAGGACAACAUAUAUGCCUUCAAAGGGUUCGAAGGUGACCAACUUCCAUAUUUUGUGAGUGACUUAAUCACCAAUGUUCCUGUAUUCGAUUCAAUGGUUGAUGAAGACGAGUCGCCUAACGAUAAAGAUGACUCCGAUGAUGAUGAUGAUGAAUGAAGAUUGAUAUAUAUAUAUAUAUAAUAUGUAAUGCAUGCAUGAUAUAUUUGUUUAACUGAUUUAACACUUUUAAAUUUUGUCUUGACGAAAUAAAAAUGAGGAAUUGAAUUCUUUUUUGAUCAGCA
Molecule: long non-coding RNA, 5236 nt
Organism: Bombyx mori (domestic silkworm)
Lineage: Eukaryota; Metazoa; Arthropoda; Insecta; Lepidoptera; Bombycidae
Exons: 2
Source: RefSeq, a predicted model, not a curated record